RNAcentral lists this ribosomal RNA (468 nucleotides) under uncultured bacterium. RNAcentral describes it as "partial 16S ribosomal RNA". It matches the Rfam family "Bacterial small subunit ribosomal RNA", at positions 28 to 507 of the family's 1533-position model. The record is from RNAcentral.
GACGAACGCUGGCGGCGUGCUUAACACAUGCAAGUCGAACGGAAAGGCCCUGCUUUUGUGGGGUGCUCGAGUGGCGAACGGGUGAGUAACACGUGAGUAACCUGCCCUUGACUUUGGGAUAACUUCAGGAAACUGGGGCUAAUACCGGAUAGGAGCUCCUGCUGCAUGGUGGGGGUUGGAAAGUUUCGGCGGUUGGGGAUGGACUCGCGGCUUAUCAACUUGUUGGUGGGGUAGUGGCUUACCAAGGCUUUGACGGGUAGCCGGCCUGAGAGGGUGACCGGCCACAUUGGGACUGAGAUACGACCCAGACUGCUACGGGAGGCAGCAGUGGGAAAUAUUGCACGAUGGGCGGAAGCCUGAUGCAGCAACGCCGCGUGCGGGAUGACGGCCUUCGGGUUGUAAACCGCUUUCGCCUGUGACGAAGCGUGAGUGACGGUAAUGGGUAAAGAAGCACCGGCUAACUACGUG